GAUGAACGCUGGCGGCGUGCCUAAUACAUGCAAGUCGAGCGAACGGACGAGAAGCUUGCUUCUCUGAUGUUAGCGGCGGACGGGUGAGUAACACGUGGAUAACCUACCUAUAAGACUGGGAUAACUUCGGGAAACCGGAGCUAAUACCGGAUAAUAUUUUGAACCGCAUGGUUCAAAAGUGAAAGACGGUCUUGCUGUCACUUAUAGAUGGAUCCGCGCUGCAUUAGCUAGUUGGUAAGGUAACGGCUUACCAAGGCAACGAUGCAUAGCCGACCUGAGAGGGUGAUCGGCCACACUGGAACUGAGACACGGUCCAGACUCCUACGGGAGGCAGCAGUAGGGAAUCUUCCGCAAUGGGCGAAAGCCUGACGGAGCAACGCCGCGUGAGUGAUGAAGGUCUUCGGAUCGUAAAGCUCUGUUAUUAGGGAAGAACAUAUGUGUAAGUAACUGUGCACAUCUUGACGGUACCUAAUCAGAAAGCCACGGCUAACUACGUGCCAGCAGCCGCGGUAAUACGUAGGUGGCAAGCGUUAUCCGGAAUUAUUGGGCGUAAAGCGCGCGUAGGCGGUUUUUUAAGUCUGAUGUGAAAGCCCACGGCUCAACCGUGGAGGGUCAUUGGAAACUGGAAAACUUGAGUGCAGAAGAGGAAAGUGGAAUUCCAUGUGUAGCGGUGAAAUGCGCAGAGAUAUGGAGGAACACCAGUGGCGAAGGCGACUUUCUGGUCUGUAACUGACGCUGAUGUGCGAAAGCGUGGGGAUCAAACAGGAUUAGAUACCCUGGUAGUCCACGCCGUAAACGAUGAGUGCUAAGUGUUAGGGGGUUUCCGCCCCUUAGUGCUGCAGCUAACGCAUUAAGCACUCCGCCUGGGGAGUACGACCGCAAGGUUGAAACUCAAAGGAAUUGACGGGGACCCGCACAAGCGGUGGAGCAUGUGGUUUAAUUCGAAGCAACGCGAAGAACCUUACCAAAUCUUGACAUCCUUUGACAACUCUAGAGAUAGAGCUUUCCCCUUCGGGGGACAAAGUGACAGGUGGUGCAUGGUUGUCGUCAGCUCGUGUCGUGAGAUGUUGGGUUAAGUCCCGCAACGAGCGCAACCCUUAAGCUUAGUUGCCAUCAUUAAGUUGGGCACUCUAAGUUGACUGCCGGUGACAAACCGGAGGAAGGUGGGGAUGACGUCAAAUCAUCAUGCCCCUUAUGAUUUGGGCUACACACGUGCUACAAUGGACAAUACAAAGGGCAGCGAAACCGUGAGGUCAAGCAAAUCCCAUAAAGUUGUUCUCAGUUCGGAUUGUAGUCUGCAACUCGACUACAUGAAGCUGGAAUCGCUAGUAAUCGUAGAUCAGCAUGCUACGGUGAAUACGUUCCCGGGUCU
RNAcentral lists this ribosomal RNA (1372 nucleotides) under uncultured bacterium. RNAcentral's name for it is "bacterial SSU rRNA". It matches the Rfam family "Bacterial small subunit ribosomal RNA", at positions 28 to 1381 of the family's 1533-position model. The record is from RNAcentral.